Long non-coding RNA from Sapajus apella (tufted capuchin), 100 nucleotides. RefSeq lists it as uncharacterized. The record is from RefSeq and is a predicted model, not a curated record. The transcript has 3 exons. Lineage: Eukaryota; Metazoa; Chordata; Mammalia; Primates; Cebidae.
CCAGGCUGGAGUGCAGUGGCGCAGUGUGAUCUCGGCUCACUGCAACCUCCACCUCCCAGGUUCAAGUGAUUCUCCCGCCUCAGCCUCCUGAGUCGCUGGG